UAAGGAAUAUUGGUCAAUGGACGCAAGUCUGAACCAGCCAUGCCGCGUGGAGGAUGAAGGUCCUCUGGAUUGUAAACUUCUUUUAUCUGGGACGAAACACUUCUUUUCUAAGAGGCCUGACGGUACCAGAUGAAUAAGCACCGGCUAACUCCGUGCCAGCAGCCGCGGUAAUACGGAGGGUGCAAGCGUUAUCCGGAUUCACUGGGUUUAAAGGGUGCGUAGGUGGGUAUGUAAGUCAGUGGUGAAAUCCCCGAGCUUAACUUGGGAACUGCCAUUGAUACUAUAUAUCUUGAAUACCGUAGAGGUAAGCGGAAUAUGUCAUGUAGCGGUGGAAUGCUUAGAUAUGACAUGGAACACCAAUUGCGAAGGCAGCUUACUAUGCGGUGAUUGACACUGAGGCACGAAAGCGUGGGUAGCAAACA
This 422-nucleotide ribosomal RNA is filed under the name uncultured bacterium. Its description in RNAcentral is "bacterial SSU rRNA". It matches the Rfam family "Bacterial small subunit ribosomal RNA", at positions 355 to 774 of the family's 1533-position model. The record is from RNAcentral.